Molecule: ribosomal RNA, 450 nt
Filed under: uncultured bacterium
Lineage: Bacteria
Description: bacterial SSU rRNA
Rfam family: Bacterial small subunit ribosomal RNA
Source: RNAcentral
AACGAACGCUGGCGGCAGGCCUAACACAUGCAAGUCGAACGCACUCUUCGGAGUGAGUGGCAGACGGGUGAGUAACACGUGGGAAUCUACCCUGUACUGCGGGAUAACACAGAGAAAUUUGUGCUAAUACCGCAUACGCCCUUCGGGGGAAAGAUUUAUCGGUAUAGGAUGAGCCCGCGUCUGAUUAGCUAGUUGGUGGGGUAAUGGCCCACCAAGGCGACGAUCAGUAGCUGGUCUGAGAGGAUGAUCAGCCACACUGGGACUGAGACACGGCCCAGACUCCUACGGGAGGCAGCAGUGGGGGAAUAUUGGACAAUGGGCGCAAGCCUGAUCCAGCCAUGCCGCGUGUGUGAUGACGGCCCUAGGGUUGUAAAGCACUUUCAACGGUGAAGAUAAUGACGGUAACCGUAGAAGAAGCCCCGGCUAACUUCGUGCCAGCCGCCGCGGUAA